AGUAACACGUGGAUAAUCUACCCUCUUGUGGGGAAUACCGAUGGGAAACCGUCGACAAUACCGCAUAAGCUCGAGAGAGGAAAGCAGCAAUGCGCUGGAGGAGGAGUCCGCGGCUGAUUAGCUAGUUGGUGAGGUAAUGGCUCACCAAGGCUCAGAUCAGUAGCCGGCCUGAGAGGGCACACGGCCACACUGGCACUGAAACACGGGCCAG
RNAcentral lists this ribosomal RNA (211 nucleotides) under uncultured bacterium. Its description in RNAcentral is "partial 16S ribosomal RNA". It matches the Rfam family "Bacterial small subunit ribosomal RNA", at positions 109 to 334 of the family's 1533-position model. The record is from RNAcentral.